AUUCGACAAGACCAAAUGCUGGGUCCUGCACUUUGGCCACAAUAACCCCAGGCAACGCUACAGGCUUGGGGCAGAGUGGCUGGAAGACUGUGUAGAGGAAAUGGACCUGGGGGUGUUGACUGACGCUAGACUGAACAUGAGCCAGCAGUGUGCCCAGGUGGCCAAGAAGGCCAAUGGCAUCCUGGCUUGUAUCAGAAAUAGUGUGGCCAGCAGGAACAGGGAAGUAACUGUCCCCCUGUACUCAGCACUGGUGAGGGCGCACCUUGAGUACUGUGUCCAGUUUUGGGCCCCUCACUGCAAGAAAGACAUUGAGGCCCUGGAGCGUGUCCAGAGGAGGGCAACAAAGCUGGUGAGGGGUCUGGACCACAGCCCUUAUGAGGAGCUGCUGAAGGAUCUGGGAUUGUUCAGUCUAGAGAAGAGGAGGCUCAGGGGAGACCUUAUUGCUCUCUAUAACUACCUGAAGGGAGGCUGUAGUGAGCUGGGGGUCGGCCUCUUCUCUCGUGUGACUAGUGAUAGGACUAGAGGGAAUGGCUUCAAGCUGCACCAGGGAAGGUUCAGGCUGGACGUUAGGAAAUACUACUUCUCUGAAAGGGUGGUCAGGCACUGGAAUGGGCUGCCCAGAGAGGUGGUGGAGUCACUGAGCCUGGAGGUGUUCAAGGAGUGUUUGGAUGUUGUGUUGAGGGACAUGGUUUAGCAAGAACCAUUGGUGGUGGAGUCACUGAGCCUGGAGGUGUUCAAGGAG
RNAcentral lists this long non-coding RNA (742 nucleotides) under Gallus gallus (chicken). Its description in RNAcentral is "lncRNA (ENSGALG00010011716.1)". The record is from RNAcentral. Lineage: Eukaryota; Metazoa; Chordata; Aves; Galliformes; Phasianidae.